GAUGAACGCUGACAGAAUGCUUAACACAUGCAAGUCGAUGGGGAAGUGGUGCUUGCACCAUGGUAACCAUGUCGGACGGGUGAGUAACGCGUAAGGAACUUACCUGCGGGACCGGGAUAACAGCAGGAAACUGCUGACAAGACCGGAUAAGGUCAUUAAGCUGCAUAGCUUAGUGAUGAAAGGAGACGCCUGCGGAGAGCCUUGCCUCCUAUUAGCUAGUUGGAGGGGUAACGGCCCACCAAGGCGAAGAUAGGUAGCCGGCCUGAGAGGGUGGACGGCCACAAGGGGACUGAGAUACGGCCCUUACUCCUACGGGAGGCAGGAGUGGGGAAUAUUGGACAAGGGGGGCAACCCUGAUACAGCAAUUCUGUGUGCACGAAGACGGUUUUCGGAUUGUAAAGUGCUUUCAGCAGGGAAGAAGGAAGUGACGGUACCUGCAGAAGAAGCGACGGCUAAAUACGUG
This 463-nucleotide ribosomal RNA is filed under the name uncultured bacterium. RNAcentral's name for it is "partial 16S ribosomal RNA". It matches the Rfam family "Bacterial small subunit ribosomal RNA", at positions 28 to 507 of the family's 1533-position model. The record is from RNAcentral.